This 1350-nucleotide ribosomal RNA is filed under the name uncultured bacterium. RNAcentral describes it as "bacterial SSU rRNA". It matches the Rfam family "Bacterial small subunit ribosomal RNA", at positions 28 to 1381 of the family's 1533-position model. The record is from RNAcentral.
AUUGAACGCUGGCGGCAUGCUUUACACAUGCAAGUCGAACGGCAGCGCGGGGCAACCUGGCGGCGAGUGGCGAACGGGUGAGUAAUAUAUCGGAACGUACCCAAGAGUGGGGGAUAACGUAGCGAAAGUUACGCUAAUACCGCAUACGAUCUAAGGAUGAAAGUGGGGGAUCGCAAGACCUUAUGCUCCUGGAGCGGCCGAUAUCUGAUUAGCUAGUUGGUGAGGUAAAGGCUCACCAAGGCGACGAUCAGUAGCUGGUCUGAGAGGACGACCAGCCACACUGGAACUGAGACACGGUCCAGACUCCUACGGGAGGCAGCAGUGGGGAAUUUUGGACAAUGGGCGCAAGCCUGAUCCAGCAAUGCCGCGUGAGUGAAGAAGGCCUUCGGGUUGUAAAGCUCUUUUGUCAGGGAAGAAACGGUAGGGGCUAAUAUCCUUUGCUAAUGACGGUACCUGAAGAAUAAGCACCGGCUAACUACGUGCCAGCAGCCGCGGUAAUACGUAGGGUGCAAGCGUUAAUCGGAAUUACUGGGCGUAAAGCGUGCGCAGGCGGUUUUGUAAGUCUGUCGUGAAAGCCCCGGGCUCAACCUGGGAAUUGCGAUGGAGACUGCAAGGCUUGAAUCUGGCAGAGGGGGGUAGAAUUCCACGUGUAGCAGUGAAAUGCGUAGAGAUGUGGAGGAACACCGAUGGCGAAGGCAGCCCCCUGGGUCAAGAUUGACGCUCAUGCACGAAAGCGUGGGGAGCAAACAGGAUUAGAUACCCUGGUAGUCCACGCCCUAAACGAUGUCUACUAGUUGUCGGGUUUUAAUUAACUUGGUAACGCAGCUAACGCGUGAAGUAGACCGCCUGGGGAGUACGGUCGCAAGAUUAAAACUCAAAGGAAUUGACGGGGACCCGCACAAGCGGUGGAUGAUGUGGAUUAAUUCGAUGCAACGCGAAAAACCUUACCUACCCUUGACAUGUCAGGAAGUCCGGAGAGAUCUGGAUGUGCCCGAAAGGGAGCCUGAACACAGGUGCUGCAUGGCUGUCGUCAGCUCGUGUCGUGAGAUGUUGGGUUAAGUCCCGCAACGAGCGCAACCCUUGUCAUUAGUUGCUACGCAAGAGCACUCUAAUGAGACUGCCGGUGACAAACCGGAGGAAGGUGGGGAUGACGUCAAGUCCUCAUGGCCCUUAUGGGUAGGGCUUCACACGUCAUACAAUGGUACAUACAGAGGGCCGCCAACCCGCGAGGGGGAGCUAAUCCCAGAAAGUGUAUCGUAGUCCGGAUCGCAGUCUGCAACUCGACUGCGUGAAGUUGGAAUCGCUAGUAAUCGCGGAUCAGCAUGUCGCGGUGAAUACGUUCCCGGGUCU